This 462-nucleotide small RNA is filed under the name Arabidopsis thaliana (thale cress). RNAcentral's name for it is "ATSL289500". The record is from RNAcentral. Lineage: Eukaryota; Viridiplantae; Streptophyta; Magnoliopsida; Brassicales; Brassicaceae.
UUUUUAUUUUAUUUUAUCAAACAAAACUCAGGAAUAAACCUAACAGGAGGAUAAUUAAUAGCUACUCGCCCAAGCAUUUGUGGUCCAGUGGUAAGAGAAGAUUUGGGGAAGGGUAAAACUUCCAGACCCGAGUUCGAUCCUCUAUGGAAACAAAAAUCACAUUUGUUUGGGAAGUUUGUCAGUUGGGCCUUGGCCCAAUUAGUUUACCUGGUAGUCAGAAAUGCAUGCGGCCUGACUACUCUCUGGCAUUAGUCGGAAAGCAUUCCAAACUCGGGACAGACAGUGUGGUGGUCCUUCGUGGAGAAGUCCACUCUAAAGUACUUCGGUGCGUUUCUACCGAGGCUGACCAUUUCUAAAGGGUAGUUAAUAUUUUCUUAUACUCGUAAUAUGUACAUGUGAAUUUUCUUUUUAUUUGAUCUUUGUGAGAAGCAAAAAUCGUCCUACCAUUACUAAAUUUACAUU